Molecule: long non-coding RNA, 192 nt
Organism: Octopus sinensis (East Asian common octopus)
Lineage: Eukaryota; Metazoa; Mollusca; Cephalopoda; Octopoda; Octopodidae
Exons: 3
Source: RefSeq, a predicted model, not a curated record
AUCCGUCAUACAAUCAAAGAAAAUUGCUGACUCAAGCAAAGAGAAACAGCGUUGCUGAAAUAUACAGCUUAAAACAGACCAAUUCUGAAGUAACAUGACCGUAUACACUUAAAUGCACUACUCUUUUACGGUCUGUCCCCUACGGAAAAAUUCAACAUAACCAUAACAUAACUUGGAGCGGAUAUUGAAGGU